Molecule: ribosomal RNA, 207 nt
Filed under: uncultured Bacillota bacterium
Lineage: Bacteria; Bacillati; Bacillota
Description: uncultured Firmicutes bacterium partial 16S ribosomal RNA
Rfam family: Bacterial small subunit ribosomal RNA
Source: RNAcentral
CGCGUAGGCGGUUAAUUAAGUCAGGUGUGAAAACUGUGGGCUCAACCCAGAGACUGCAUCUGAUACUGGAUAACUUGAGUGCAGGAGAGGGCAGUGGAAUUCCUAGUGUAGCGGUGAAAUGCGUAGAUAUUAGGAGGAACACCAGUGGCGAAGGCGGCUGCCUGGACUGUAACUGACGCUGAGGCACGAAAGCGUGGGGAGCGAACA